Molecule: unclassified non-coding RNA, 149 nt
Filed under: uncultured Sordariomycetes
Lineage: Eukaryota; Fungi; Ascomycota; Sordariomycetes
Description: sequence contains ITS2
Source: RNAcentral
CAACCCUCAAGCCCUGCUUGGUGUUGGGGCCCUACAGCGAUGUAGGCCCUGAAAAUUAGUGGCGGGCUCGCUAUAACUCCGAGCGUAGUAGUAAUAUCUCGCUUUGGAAGUGUAGCGGGUUCUUGCCGUUAAACCCCCCAAUUUUACAA